UUUUCUCCUGUAAAGGAAAAUUGCGGUCACGGUACCAACAUUUCACUUUUAUGCAAACUUCACCUAAGCCUUUAAUUUGUGGCACCUAUGGUACCAAAUCUUUCAAAGCUCACACUGAAAGUCUAAAUGGAUGAUUUAUGUUACUUUGACCAUUAUUUACCAGAAAAUUGAACUUGACCAUAAUUUUAACUAUUUAAAUUUUAAAAAAAUUCAAAACAUAAACUACCUACCACUCUCCCUUUCUUCCCCAACCCCCAUAACCAAAUCCAAAAGCCAUCGCCAUGGUCAGAACCACAGGCUCAACCUCCAGCCUCACCAUCACCUUGAGACCAGGUAACACCACCUCAAAAGAAGGAAAUGUUAGGUGUGUUAUGAAACCAGGUACCAACACCCGAAAUUGUGAUGGUGUUAGUAGGUUCUUGCUGUGGCUGUGACGAUGGUAUUUCAAUCUCUUCUGCUGUUGAUGGCAACUAAUGGGUGAGUUUUGGUGUGUUAGUGGGUUCAAUCUUUGGCUAAUGGGUGGGAUUUUGUUGUGUAGUAGCUAUUGCAGCUUUUUAUUGGUGUUGACGGUGGCGUCGACGUUGGGUGGGUGUGUUGAUUUUUGGUUGCUGCCAAGAAUGUGGUAGGG
RNAcentral lists this long non-coding RNA (628 nucleotides) under Olea europaea (common olive). RNAcentral describes it as "long non-coding RNA (OEUR_LNC011594)". The record is from RNAcentral. Lineage: Eukaryota; Viridiplantae; Streptophyta; Magnoliopsida; Lamiales; Oleaceae.